GUUCUGUUCUCGGUGAGGCGACGCAAACACGUUGCUUCAGAGUGAGUAAAAGCGUUUGUUUUUUGAGGGUACUCAUGCAGAACUAUGUGUUUUAUGUAUCUGUCACAUGCUAUAACUUUGAAAGUUUACUCAAUGUUGUUGAAUUCGUUUUUUAUUGUGUAUGCAUGUCAUUUGUUCGUGGUGUGGAAAGACUGGCUAAAAGAUGCGCAUGGAGGAGGUUGGCUAGCUGAUUCAGCAUGAUUAGCACCCUUGGAAGCAGAAAGAGUUUUCACGGUGCCAUAUUGUCGGUGGUUCAAAAGAGGAGAGAAUAAAGUUGCAUCAGUCGAAGCUCUCUGCGUCAUGAGUGGUAAUUCCAAGUGGGCAGCUACGCCACCUGCAGACUGACGGGUUGGUGGAGUGGCUGAAUAAGACUUUAAAGUCCAUGAUUCAUAAGUUCGUUCACGAGGUUAGACCCUCUGUUGUUUGCAGCACGGGAGGUUCCCCAGCCCCCCAUAAUUGUGUUUAACUGAAAGUGAAAAUUAAAGGAAGUUUCUAGAACUAUCUGGCUUUUUUAUUUUGUUUGUUUUUUAUUUAUAUUCUUCAAAAUAACAUUACACUUGGGAGGAUACAUGCAUUUGACCUUGACCUACCAAUGUCAGAGUUUACUUUAAUUGAACUUCUUCACAAACCUUUAACGUCUUCAUUAAGGAAAUCAUUUCAAGAAACCAUCCAUGCUCUUCCACUUAUCCUUGGCAGGGUCAUGGGGGGCCAAAGCACAUCCCAUAGCGUGAGAAGGCGGGUAAUCUCUGGACGAGUCUGUUGCAGGGCUAACACAGAGAAACGGACAAUUAUUCACACUCACAUUCACACCUAUGGGGAAUUAAGAAUGACCAAGAACCUAACCCCACUGCAUGGUCUUGCAAAAUUACCCACUGCACGGAUAUAGCUUAAAAUCUCAAGGUUUAACAGCUUAUAGAAGCCAAAAAUGUCAGCCGCUUUUGGUCAUGUCAUAUGGAUAAGGUAAGAUAAUGAGUUGGGGAAUGGCUGCAAUCACAGCAUUGUAAGAUGGUGAAAGAUAUACUCAAACAACUUGUUUUGUAUGAGUUGAUAUGUAUGUAAUCCUUUUUGUUAUUUAUUCCAAAUAUCUACUAUUUAUAUAUUUUGGGUGUGGCGCACCUAUAUUCUGUUGUACAUGUACAAUAAUAAUAAAGGGCUGUUCACUUCUGUUCUA
Molecule: long non-coding RNA, 1210 nt
Organism: Astatotilapia calliptera (eastern happy)
Lineage: Eukaryota; Metazoa; Chordata; Actinopteri; Cichliformes; Cichlidae
Source: Ensembl